Molecule: long non-coding RNA, 1572 nt
Organism: Triticum aestivum (bread wheat)
Lineage: Eukaryota; Viridiplantae; Streptophyta; Magnoliopsida; Poales; Poaceae
Exons: 7
Source: RefSeq, a predicted model, not a curated record
UGGCGGUGGUCGACGGCAACGGCGGGUCCUUGCGGUAUGCUGACUUGUUCCUUCCGGCGGAGGGGGCGGCGGAAGGCGGAGGGCGCGUUCCUUGCGGCAGUGGCAGGCGUGUCCCUUGCGGCGGCGGUGACAGCGCGGCUGCGCGGGGGAGGGGAAGCAGCAGCGGCUGCGGUAGCAGAGGGGCGUCCGCCGCGUGGUCAACAUACCUAGGCUGCUGCAACAGACGCCUAGGGUUCCUCCUUCCCAAACCCCAACCAGCUAUGAAGCAACCGACGCUCCAAGCUCGCCAGAUCUCGCUCUCGCCGUCUAACACCAGCAAAGGCUGCAACCCAUGGGACCUGGAUGAACAGUUCAGCCACCAAGAAAUGCCCCACAAUCUCAAGGACAACAUUCUGGGAGUAACUCAGCAUCAAAAUCUAGGAAGGUGCGUGGGAUAAAUAAGGGAAAGGGCUUGGAGCGUUUGAUCAAAAGGGCAGGUCAUCCACUAAACUUGACCAUUUCUGAAGAGAGAAGACCUAUUGGAGAAAACAAUGAACUACUUUCUAGAGAGAUUGGACUUCUUACACGGCACCAUGCACCUAUCCAACGUGUCGGGUGGCAUAGUCUUACUGAGGAUGAUAAGGACCCAUUGUAUGAACUUCUAAAGCUUAAGUUCAAUCUUGAUUUCACCCAAGAUCAUAUCAAAGGCUGUGUGGAUCUGCUAUUCUCUUCAAGCUAAAAAAGUUUCCGUCACAAGUAUUAUGAGCAUUAUGUAAAAUAUGGUGAUGAUGCUAGAAGCAAUCCAUAUCCCCCCUUAUUGAUAAUAGAGUUGGAGACUGGAUUUGGCUCUGUGAUCAUUUUGAAACAGAAGAAUUUAAGAAACGGUCCACAAUUGGGAAGGCUAACCGCUCAAACCUACCUUAUGUUCACAAGAAGGGAACAAAGUCAUUUGUAGCGGUUCAACAUGAAUUAAAUUGUGGCUAUAUCAGACUAUACAAGGAGUGUUGCUCUAGUGAUAAGAAGGGAUGGGCAUCAGAAGAUGCCAGGAAUAAACAUGUUCUCUGGUCUCAGAUGGAUGGUCAAGGAGGUGAAGCAACUUUGGAGAGGUGUAGAGGACAUGUGGGGAGUGAUCGGAGCAGUGCUAAACUAGAUGCCAAAAGAGUAGUUCCUGAUUUGCAAAUUCGGCUUACAAAUACUAGAUGUCAAAUACUAGAAAAGUUCCUUCUUGGUGACCGGAUCAUAUGUUUGGAGCAGUACUAAAGUUGGUACUUUGCAAAUACUCCCUCCGUCCGGAAAUACUUGUCGGUGGAAUGGAUGUAUCUAGACGUAUUUUAGUUCUAGAUACAUCCAUUUUUAUGCACUUCUCCGACAAGUAUUUCCGGACGGAGGGAGUACUAGAAUAUUAUUUCCUGAUGGUACUGAAGUUGUGAAACAAAAUUCGGCUUACAAAUGUUAGCAUGUAAUGAUUGGAUCAUAAGUUUACAAAUGCUGAUUCUGAACUUUUUCCUGUUGUAUGUCUAAAAUUCUAAGAUUUCUUGCAUACUACUAAUGUCAGCAUGUGGCAAUAUAUUGUAGCUAUGAUAUACUCCCUCC